AGGGGCUUAGGAUAGCACCCAGACCAAGGGCCUUCAAAGCCCUAAGCGGGAGUGAAAAUCUCCCAGCCUCUGCUA
This 75-nucleotide transfer RNA is filed under the name Bradyrhizobium canariense. RNAcentral describes it as "tRNA-Sec". It matches the Rfam family "tRNA". From Rfam's summary of the family: Transfer RNA (tRNA) molecules are approximately 80 nucleotides in length. Their secondary structure includes four short double-helical elements and three loops (D, anti-codon, and T loops). The record is from RNAcentral. Lineage: Bacteria; Pseudomonadati; Pseudomonadota; Alphaproteobacteria; Hyphomicrobiales; Nitrobacteraceae.